AAACCCAAAGGCAAAGCAGAGAGCCCAAAAGGCACAGAAAAGGACAAAAUGCCUCUUUGGAAAAUGCAGCCUGCAGCUCCACUGCCUGCGCUCGGGGAACCGCCGCAACCGCGGUGCCUGCUGCCACCAGUGCGUGGCCCGGCUGAAAUUCAGUGACCCCCAAGGCUCUGAGGGGCACGGGACAGCCUGUGAAAUGUUUAAUCUGCACGCUGAGGAAAUAACGUCACCUCUGAACCUCGCAGGUGGCCAGCUCAGAGCUCCGGAACGCAGCGCUCCGUCCCCAGUAGCACCGAUUCCUCGGUGCAAGGGUCUGUAAUUAGAGGUUUGAGGAGUCAGCACCAAACAAAACCUCAACAACCUCCUCCAGGACGUUGCUACUCCACUUCUGGGACCCUUCUCCUUCCACUCCCAGCCUGACCCAUCUCUGAGCACACAGAAGCCUGAGCAGGGUGAGAGCCUUGCCAAGGGAAGAAACUCUCACACUGCUCUCCUCUGAGAAAGUGGCACAAAGGAAAAAAAAAAAAAAGACCAGAAGGGAUGGCUCACAUCCCCGGGUCAUGGAAAAGAGCUGGAAAAGGCUCUGCCCCAGGAGGACAGAGUGCCAGCGCUUCUUUUUUUAACUUAGUCAGCAGCUGCAGGAUUUGAUCUGUGUUAAAAGCCUCUUUUACCCUCGCUGCUGCAAAGGAAGCCACCUCCCGCCUCUCCCCUCCCGAAUAAAAGGCCACCGAAGCCCGCAAGCAGACAUCCUGUAAUGUCACCUCUGCCAGAGGUGGCGGCUCGACCCCUCUCAGCAAACACCAGCCCUACUUCCACUCAGGCUUCGACAGAAACCCGCUGCUCCAGGUCCCAUCACGAGCCACACAACCAGCCUCUGCUUACGUGCGUCUGGAGCAGGAAAGGAAGUGAGGGGCAGGAGGGGCAGGCUGGAUUCUGGGGCUGUAGGCACCU
Molecule: long non-coding RNA, 948 nt
Organism: Cygnus atratus (black swan)
Lineage: Eukaryota; Metazoa; Chordata; Aves; Anseriformes; Anatidae
Exons: 3
Source: RefSeq, a predicted model, not a curated record